CAGUAGUCAGGCAUUAAGCUUUUAUUAAUAAUAAGAAAAAAAAGUAGAUGGUAUUUAUACAAUGUUUCACAACUAUGACCUCAUUUGAGUCUCACAACAACCCUGGGAGAUAGGUCCUAUUAUCAUGCCCAUUUAAUAGAUAUGGAAACUGAGGCAGACACAGGUUAAGUGCCUUACCCUGGGUCAAACAACUAGGAAAUGUCUGAGGAAGGAUUUAAACUUGAGUCCUUUUAUGUUCAAAUCCAGGACUCUAUUUACUAUAGAGUCUUACCUGUGGAAAGGAAACAAGACUGACAGUUUGUGGGGGAAGGGCCCAACUGGGAGUGGCAGUUGGGUCUUGUGACUAGCACUUCCUUCCUGCCAUGUGAGACUGGCUUCUGGGUGUUGGAGGAGAGAGGAGCGUGGUCAGCCCAGUCUGGAGUGGCAUGUUCUUCUUGGUUCAGCUGGAAGACACAGGCUUCUGAAGGUCCUGAUCUACCAACGACUCACUGGGGUUACUUGGCUGCUUGGACAGCUUGGAUGAGAUGGGAGGCAUCAGCUCCGUUCCUUCUGGUGAAAUGGAAGAUCACUAAACCUUACUUCUGUAGAUCCUGCCUCUGCCUUCUAAGACUGGAUGUUUGACUGAAUUGACUGGAUCGACCUGCUGUUUUGGCAUCAUGUGAACACAGCCAGUAAGUGCUGAUGCAGCUACAGAAUUGUAGAAAUUAAUCCUGAAAAUGGUGGUGAAGGAAAUCCAAGCCCGAGUCAGAAACCAUGCUCAGUCGGGGAAGGCUGAUCAAUUUCCCGCUCCCUAAUUAAAACAAGCCACCAAACACCACAGUAGCACAAAAUCUAGUGCAUUCUUUAGUGAUGGAUGUGACCGGCUUGCAAAUUUCUUCUUGCUGGAGGAUGGUGAUUUCUUGUGCAACAGCAGGUAAACAGAAAGCCUGCUGGCAAUUCAUGUUCUAUAAUGUGUAUAGAUCCACACCCUCAACCCCUAGACACAGAAAUCCCGUUUGAACUGAAUUCAUAAGAAUAUUUUUACCAAGGAGUCAGGUUGGGUGUAAUGGAUAUGGAGUACUUGAUUUAACAUCAGAUACCCUGAGUUGAAAUGCUACCCAUGUAAAAAAAACCCACUUAAAAAGUGAUUUCUCCAG
RNAcentral lists this long non-coding RNA (1136 nucleotides) under Monodelphis domestica (gray short-tailed opossum). RNAcentral describes it as "lncRNA (ENSMODG00000031618.2)". Lineage: Eukaryota; Metazoa; Chordata; Mammalia; Didelphimorphia; Didelphidae. The record is from RNAcentral.